Molecule: ribosomal RNA, 253 nt
Filed under: uncultured bacterium
Lineage: Bacteria
Description: partial 16S ribosomal RNA
Rfam family: Bacterial small subunit ribosomal RNA
Source: RNAcentral
UACGGAGGGUGCAAGCGUUAUCCGGAUUUACUGGGUUUAAAGGGUGCGUAGGCGGGCAUGUAAGUCAGUGGUGAAAUACCGGAGCUUAACUUCGGAACUGCCAUUGAUACUAUAUGUCUUGAAUAUUGUGGAGGUAAGCGGAAUAUGUCAUGUAGCGGUGAAAUGCAUAGAUAUGACAUAGAACACCGAUUGCGGAGGCAGCUUGCUACGCAAAUAUUGACGCUGAGGCACGAAAGCGUGGGGAGCAAACAGG